AGAGCCCAACUUGAAAAUCUCCUAUGAGCGUCAUAGGCGAAUUGUAGUCUAGAGAAGCGUCCUCUGUGGCGGGCCGUGCCCAAGUCCCCUGGAAGGGGGCGUCGGAGAGGGUGAGAACCCCGUCGGCGGCGGCUGCCAGCCACUCCACGAGGCGCUUUCGCAGAGUCGGGUUGCUUGGGAAUGCAGCCCAAAGCCGGUGGUAAAUCCCAUCGAAGGCUGAAUACCGACGGGAGACCGAUAGCGAA
RNAcentral lists this ribosomal RNA (245 nucleotides) under Coccomyxa sp. OTU 15. RNAcentral describes it as "partial 28S ribosomal RNA". It matches the Rfam family "Eukaryotic large subunit ribosomal RNA", at positions 104 to 344 of the family's 3401-position model. Lineage: Eukaryota; Viridiplantae; Chlorophyta; Trebouxiophyceae; Coccomyxaceae. The record is from RNAcentral.